Molecule: ribosomal RNA, 406 nt
Filed under: uncultured bacterium
Lineage: Bacteria
Description: partial 16S ribosomal RNA
Rfam family: Bacterial small subunit ribosomal RNA
Source: RNAcentral
AUUGAACGCUGGCGGCAGGCCUAACACAUGCAAGUCGAACGCGUGGCGGACGGGUGAGUACUGUCUGGGACACUGCCCGAGGGAGGGGGAUAACUUCUGGAAACGGUAUCUAAUCCCGCAUUCCAUCGUAUGUGCCCAUAUGGGAUUAGCUAGUAGGUGGGGUAACGGCUCACCUAGGCGACGAUCCCGAGCUGGUCUGAGAGGAUGACCAGCCACACUGGGACUGAGACACGGGCCAGACUCCUACGGGAGGCAGCAGUGGGGAAUAUUGCACAAUGGGCGCAAGCCUGAUGCAGCCAUGCCGCGUGUAUGAAGAAGGCCUUAGGGUUGUAAAGUACUUUCAGCGGGGAGGCGUUACUCGCAGAAGAAGCACCGGCUAACUCCGUGCCAGCAGCCGCGGUAAUAC